Molecule: transfer RNA, 74 nt
Filed under: archaeon
Lineage: Archaea
Also listed under: 1 other name
Description: tRNA-Lys
Rfam family: tRNA
About the family: Transfer RNA (tRNA) molecules are approximately 80 nucleotides in length. Their secondary structure includes four short double-helical elements and three loops (D, anti-codon, and T loops). Further hydrogen bonds mediate the characteristic L-shaped molecular structure. tRNAs have two regions of fundamental functional importance: the anti-codon, which is responsible for specific mRNA codon recognition, and the 3' end, to which the tRNAs corresponding amino acid is attached (by aminoacyl-tRNA synthetases). tRNAs cope with the degeneracy of the genetic code in two manners: having more than one tRNA (with a specific anti-codon) for a particular amino acid; and 'wobble' base-pairing, i.e. permitting non-standard base-pairing at the 3rd anti-codon position.
Source: RNAcentral
GGUUCGUUAGCUCAGCCCGGUAGAGCACCUGCCUUUUAAGCAGGCUGUCAAGGGUUCAAAUCCCUUACGAGCCA